This 7925-nucleotide long non-coding RNA is filed under the name Cucumis sativus (cucumber). RNAcentral's name for it is "long non-coding RNA (CSAT_LNC002337)". The record is from RNAcentral. Lineage: Eukaryota; Viridiplantae; Streptophyta; Magnoliopsida; Cucurbitales; Cucurbitaceae.
UACAAUCUGGUUGUGAAUGUAAGGGAGCCUAACGUUACUCCCAACACCUCAACGCACGACUGUCGAACUCGCAGCAAAAUCCUAAGUGUGGGUCGGUCAGCGGUCGGCCAAAGGGAACGUGGCGGCUGGGCUUCACGGAUGGAAACCGUCGCGAACAGACAGCAAAUCUGAACGGUUACAGCAACUAGUCGGCCGACGUCGAUAGCAGGUGGAGCGGCGGUUGUGAGCGGGAGGGGAGCGUGGCGGUUACUGGUUCACGCGGCGGCCUUGCCUUCGACGGAGACAGAACCGGCGAUGGAGACGGCAGAUCAGCGCGCGGGACGACUGCUGCAAGGUUGCUUCGCGAACCAGAGAUGGAGACGGCAGAUCGGCGCGCGGGCUGCGGCGGGAAGAAAACGGAAGAGAAAAGAUUGGUGGGAGUCGCGGCGCACGGCGGAAGAAGGAAAUAGGGGCGGCGGUUGCUGGGCUGUGACGCAGAUCUGGACUGGGCAGCGGUCACGUGGCGGCCGACGGCUGCUGCGAACGGAAGAAGAAGAGGAAUGGAGGUCGGCCGGUGGCGGUUGCUGCGCUGCGAACGGGGAGAAGGGGAAGGGCGCACGGCGCACGGGAGGAGAAGAGAAGAGAAAAAAAAAAGAAAAAGAAAAAAAAAAGAAAAAGAAGAAAGAAAAGAAAAAAGAAAAAAAUAAUAAUAAAAAAUUUCUUUAUUAUUAUUAUUAUUAUUAUUUUAAAUUAAUAAAAAUAAUAUAUAUACCUUUCCUUUUUUUUUCUUUUUCUUUUGGGCAUUACAUUCUUCCCUCCUUAAGAAACUUUCGUCCUCGAAAGUUUUAAUCCUGAAAUAACUCUGGAUAACGAGUCCUCAUCUCUUCCUCUCGCUCCCAUGUCGCCUCUUCAAUUCGAUGAUUCCACCACAAAACCUUUACUAAUGGAAUGCUUCUAUUACGAAGCAUCUUCACCUCUCUAGCCAGAAUCUCCACAGGUUGUUCUACAUAGCUCAAAUGCUCAUCAAUCUCCAAGGGUUCAUAGUCCACUACAUGAGAUGUAUCGGCCACAUAUUUCCUCAACAUCGAAACAUGGAAAACAUUAUGAACUGCAGAGAGUGAUGGUGGUAAUGCCAAGCGAUACGCCACAACACCAACCCUCUCUAAGAUCUCAAAUGGUCCAACAAAACGAGGACUUAACUUCCCUUUCUUCUCAAAACGCAUAACACCCUUCAUUGGUGCUACCUUCAAGAAUACCUUUUCUCCCACAUCAAACUUAAGGUCUUUUCGCCGUACAUCUGCAUAACUCUUCUGUCUACUCUGCGUUGUUUGCAUACAUGUUCUAAUAUUUUGAAUAGCCUCAUUAGUAGACCGAACUAAUUCAGGUCCCAUCAACCUAUGUUCACCAACCUCACUCCAACAAACAGGGGUUCUACAACAUUUGCCAUCCAAAGCCUCAAAUGGUGCCAUACCGAUGGUAGCCUGGAAACUGUUGUUAUACGCAAACUCCAUCAAAUGUAGAUGAGAGUCCCAACUACCUGGAAACUCUAGAACACAAGCUCGUAGCAUAUCCUCUAAAACUUGGUUCAAACGUUCAGUUUGACCAUCAGUCUGUGGAUGAAAGGCUGUACUGAAAUCCAAUCUCGUACCCAUAGCAGUCUGAAGUCCCUUCCAAAACUUGGAAGUAAACCGUGCAUCCCUAUCAGAAACAAUCGAUACAGGCACUCCAUGCAGUCUCACAAUCUCAGUUAAAUACAACUCUGCCCACUUACUAGCAGUAUAAGUGGAUUUCCCUGGUACAAAAUGUGCCGAUUUCGUAAGCCUGUCUAUGACAACCAAAAUCACUGUGAAACCCUUCAGGGUCUUAGGCAGCCCUGAAAUAAAAUCCAUCGACACAUUCUCCCACUUCCACUCUGGCACACUUAAAGGUUGUAACAAACCUGCUGGUUUCUGUCUAGGUGCCUUAACCUGCUGACAUACUAGACACUUACUAACAAAUUCCGCCACUUCCCUUUUCAUAUUCCGCCACCAAUAAAAACGUUUUAGAUCCUAAUACAUUUUCGUACUACCAGGAUGCAUGGAAAAUGGGGAAUUAUGGGCUUCAUCUAGUAAAUCAAUCUUAACUGUACUGUUCGCUGGCACACACAAACGUCUCUCAAACAUCAACCCACCAUCAGAGGAUAUGGAGAACUCAUCAGUCUGUCCCAUUCCAACAAGGCGACGUCUCUCUAUCAAAUAAGGAUCACUACUAUGAGCAUCAACAAUCUUCUGCCUCAGAGUCGGUUGCACCGUUAAUUGAGCUAACUGUGAGGUGACUCUCCCCACAGAUACUGCAAUCUCAACUCUCUCCAAGUCUCGAUGCAAUGGCACCUGUCUAGUAAUGAGUGCUGCCGAAUGUGAUACUUUUCUACUAAGAGCAUCAGCCACCACAUUCGCCUUACCAGGAUGGUACAAUAUCUCGCAGUCAUAAUCCUUUACCAACUCGAGCCACCUUCGUUGUCUCAUAUUCAACUCCUUCUGAGUGAAGAAGUACUUUAGGCUCUUAUGGUCAGUACAGAUUUGUAUCUUUUCACCGUACAAAUAAUGUCUCCAUAUCUUCAAUGCAAAAACCACUGCUGCCAACUCCAAAUCAUGUGUGGGGUAGUUCUGCUCGUGACUCUUCAACUGACGAGAGGCAUAAGCAACCACCUUACCUUUCUGCAUCAAAACACAACCCAGUCCUUUCUUGGAAGCAUCACUGUAAAUCACAAAACUUCCACAUCCAUCUGGUACAGUAAGGACCGGUGCAGUAACUAACCUUUGCUUUAAGUUCUGAAAACUAUCCUCGCAAGCUGGACUCCAUACAAACGGAGUUCCCUUCCUUGUCAACUGAGUCAAGGGAGUAGCCAAACGUGAAAAAUCCUCCACAAACCUCCGGUAGUACCCUGCUAAACCCAGAAAACUACGAACCUCACUAACUGUAGAGGGUCGAGACCAACUGGUAACCGCUUCUAUCUUUGCAGGGUCUACUGAAACUCCCUCACUGGAAACCACAUGACCAAGAAAAGCCACCUGCUUCAACCAAAAUUCGCACUUAGAGAAUUUAGCAUACAUUUAUUGACUCGAAGAGUCUCUAACACCUUAUGUAAGUGUUCCUCAUGUUCGGCCUCAGUCUUGGAAUAAACCAAAAUAUCAUCAAUGAAGACUAUCACAAAAGUGUCUAAGAAAUCCUUAAACACCCUGUUCAUCAAAUCCAUAAAUACAGCAGGUGCAUUAGUCAAACCAAAAGACAUUACUAUGAAUUCAUAAUGUCCAUACCUCGAACGAAAAGCAGUCUUAGGAAUAUCACGGUCUCUAAUCCUCAACUGGUGAUAACCUGACCGUAAGUCAAUCUUAGAGAACACCGUGGCUCCCUGUAACUGAUCGAACAAAUCAUCGAUUCUGGGUAAAGGAUAUCUGUUCUUGACUGUUACUUUAUUCAACUCUCUAUAGUCAAUGCAAAGACGCAUCGACCCAUCCUUCUUCUUCACAAACAAUACUGGUGCACCCCAAGGUGACACACUAGGUCGAAUAAAGCCUUUGUCAAGCAAUUCCUGUAACUGUACCUUCAGUUCUUUCAACUCAGCAGGAGCCAUCCUAUAAGGGGCUCUAGAAAUAGGAGUAGUGUCUGGCUCCAACUCAAUGGCAAAAUCAACCUCUCUAUGUGGCGGUAGUCCUGGAAGAUCUUUUGGAAAUACAUCUGGGUAUUCUCUUACCACAGGUUCUGAAGUUAAAGAAGUCUCACCUUCCCUAGUAUCCACCACACUUGCCAAAAUACUCCAAGUACCCUGGUUGAGUAGUUUACUAGCUUUCAUAGCUGAGAUUACUUUAGGCAGUACUACUGUUCCUACCCCCUUGAAUUUAAAGCUAGAUGCAGUAGGGGGACUGAACACAACUUCCUUACGAGAACAAUCAAUACUAGCAUGAUUAGUAGCUAGCCAAUCCAUACCUAAAAUUACAUCAAAGUCACGCAUAUCUAAUACCAACAAGGUUACGUCCAGCACACGACCAGCUAUCUCAAUUUCACAUGCUUUAAUCUUUUCCUUAGACAACAUAAUUUCUCCAGACGGUGUAGACACUGACAAAACAUAGUCUAAGGGUUCCACCUCUAAGCAUGCAUGCGUCACAAAAAGCGAUGAAAUAAAUGAAUGAGAAGAUCCCGAGUCAAAUAAGGUCAAGGCAAAAUGCCCUAACACUGGUAGUGUACCUGUCACCACUGUGCCGGCCUUCUCUGCCUCUGAUCUAUUAGUGGCAAAGAUUGUACCCCGCUGUGGAGGUCUCUCUCCCUGACUGCUCGAUCCAGCCCCAGUAGAUCUCAAGGGACACCUAUCAGCCAUGUGUCCCUCUUGCUUGCACUUAUAACAGACUCUCGUUCCCAUCAAACAACGACCCAGGUGGCGUUUCCCACACGUAUUACAUAGUGGCUUCUCUCGAGUAGCGUCUCCUGCCCCGCCAGAACUCUGCUGGAAACUGCGAAAAGGAUCGCCUGGUCUCAAGUUCCUCUGAGAAACUCCUACAGUUCUCUGCUCUACUUUUCUCUUUUGACCCGACGACGAUCCCUUAUCAAAGCUCCUUGGCCGUAUUUCAUCCUUCCCAAUGCUUAUAUCCACUGCCAGACGCAGUGCUUCAGCCUGGGUAGUGGGCUUUAGUGCUCGCACAAAGCCCCUAAUUUCAUCUCUCAAUCCCUUGACGAACCUAUCAGCUCUAGCCUCAUUACUAACAAGCUCAGGGGCAAAACGUGACAGCAUAUCAAACUCCUGGUCGUAGUCCUCGACUGUCAUAUAUCCUUGCUUCAACUCCAAGAAUUCCUGGCUUUUGGCGUCUCUAAGGUUAGCCGAGAAAAACUUGGUAUAGAAGCAGUCCUUAAACUGAUCCCACGUAAUCUGCCUCACAUCUCCACCUAGCAUGCGCAUUGUAGUCCUCCACCAGAUAAUGCCUCUGUCCCUCAGUAGAAAAGCAGCACAGUGAACUCUGUGCUCCUCGGGACAUCUCAUGUAAUUAAAUAUGGUUUCCACAGAGACAACCACAAUUCAGCUUUAGUAGGAUCCUCCAAUGACCCAUCAAACGUCUGAGGGUCAUAUUUCCGAAAGUCCCUCAAAUGUUUCGCCUCAGCAGAAAGUUGGUUCGGUAAUAUCUGCGGCUGUUGUGCAGCAAAUCCUUGUGCAGGAGGGGCUGCUGGUGCAGGGGGAACUACAGGUGCAGGUGGAACCGCAGGUGCCUGCUGGUUUUGAGCUAUAGCCGUCAUAAGUUCCGUAAACCUCUGCUCCAUGUGAGCAGACAGUGCAUCAAACUCGACGUGAGUCACGGGUGCAGCAGGAAUUCGCUGUUCAGCUUGACCCUCAGUAGGCUGAUUACGACCUGCUCCUCUACCUCAGCCUCCUACUCCUCUACCUCGGCCUCCUGCUCCUCUACCUCGGCCUCUACGACCUCCUCUACGUACGUCUUCCCUUGGCGGCAUAAUUUCUAUUAUCCACCAACAACACUCUUUAACAAAAUCUUAAUCAUAAACAUAAGCAAGUCUUUAUCGUCAUGCAAUCUAGUUUAAUUUAGCCAAGGUCAUGCAAAUAAACCAUACAUAUAAGCAUCAAGCAUACCUGACGAGAGACGAAGGGUCGCGUUAGCCAUAGGAACACAAAAACAUAGACUUACAUCGUAAGUCAGUCUACAGAACCUAAAACUUAGGCUCUGAUACCAACUGUAACGACCCAACUUUUCUAAGUAAGUCGAGAUCGUUAAUUUUUAACAAGUAAAGACUUUGAUUAAUAUAAAACAAAACGUAAGCAAUUUAAAAAAAAAAACAUCUUCAAGUCAGGACUGAUUUAUAAACAUUCAAGAAAACAUAAAAUAAUACUAUUUACAACAAACGUUUGUAAACUAAAUUUCAAUUCAUUUUAAACCUCACAAGAAUCCAUAAGCGGAAGCAAAAACACGUUUCCUAUGGUAUCACGCUUCCUUCUUGCCCCUCGCCGGUUUGCCGCUUUUAUUACCUUUGCCUGAAAAUUAAACAUAAGAAGGGUGAGUAUUUAAAUACUCAGUAAGAGACCCUCUACUGGUCCCGUCAGGGGAAAAUAAAUUGUUAACGUUCUAUUGGGACACCCUGUACAGUCGCAGUCUUGUGAUCCCGUAGGAUACACAUCUCAGUCUAACGCCCCGAGGGACGUACAUAUCAGUCUAGUGUUCUGCAGAAACACAUAUCAGUCUAAUGCUCCCGAAGGUGCAAAAUAAAUUGGUGAUCCCGAGGGACACCUACAAGGUAUACAUCCCAAUAAAACUAAUAAUUUUCCACUCAUUCCAUUCAAUCCAUCUUUCAGUUACUUCAAAACAUAAAAUUCUUUCCCUCAACAUCCUAACAACCAACUUAUUUUACUUUAGUCAUCUGUCCGUCAAUAAUAUACUAAUACGUCAGUCAAUCAACUAUACAGUCAAUGCACUCCUCAGUUCACCAGCACACAAUCAUACUUUAGCGUAAUCAUACACCCAAUCUAAACGAGAAUCACAAGUUCAUAUCUACAUCUCAUACAAACACAAUCUACAAUCUUCGUCCUGUCCACAUACACACACUUAUAUAUAUGUUCCAUGACAAUCACGAUAUACAUUCGACGUUAAGUCUACUUCAAUUCAUAUGCAUUCAUAUAUAUUUUCAGUCAAACCACAGUAUACAUUCAACACAUACAAUUCACAAUUCACAGUCUUAAGUGAGUCUAGUAGAAAAUCCCUUACCUCAAAGUUAGGGAAGCUCCUUAAUCACUAACGUCCUCGAAACAAUCCUAAGCAUAACAACACAAAAUUCAAUUACUUUCACGAUACAUAUCCCACUUAUUUUCCUCAACGUAAGUUUCAACUCACCGAUAUAAUGGCGAACUGAACCUUCAACAAUUCACAAUCUGGUUGUGAAUGUAAGGGAGCCUAACGUUACUCCCAACACCUCAACGCACGACGACUGUCGAACUCGCAGCAAAAUCCUACGUGUGGGUCGGUCAGGUCGUUGGCCAAAGGGAACGUGGCGGCUGGGCUUCACGGAUGGAAACCGUCGCGAACAGACAGCAAAUCUGAACGGUUACAGCAACUAGUCGGCCGACGUCGAUAGCAGGUGGAGCGGCGGUUGUGAGCGGGGAGCGUGGCGGUUACUGGUUCACGCGGCGGUUGUGAGCGGGGAGCGUGGCGGUUACUGGUUCACGCGGCGGCCUUGCCUUCGACGGAGACAGAACCGGCGAUGGAGACGGCAGAUCAGCGCGCGGGACGACUGCUGCAAGGUUGCUUCGCGAACCAGAGAUGGAGACGGCAGAUCGGCGCGCGGGCUGCGGCCGGGCUGCGGCGGGAAGAAAACGGAAGAGAAAGGAUCGGCGGCUGGCUGCGGCUGGGCUGCGGCGGGAAGAAAACGGAAGGGAAAAGAUCGGUGGGAGUCGCGGCGCACGGUGGAAGAAGGAAAUAGGGGCGGCGGUUUCUGGGCUGUGACGCAGAUCUGGACUGGGCAGCGGUCACGUGGCGGCCGACGGCUGCUGCGAACGGAAGAAGAAGAGGAAUGGAGGUCGGCCGGUGGCGGUUGCUGCGCUGCGAACGGGGAGAUGGGGAAGGGCGAACGGCGCACGGGAGGAGAAGAGAAAAGAAAAAAAAAAAAGAAGAAAGAAAAGAAAAAAGAAAAAAAUAAUAAUAAAAAAUUUCUUUAUUAUUAUUAUUAUUUUAAAUUAAUAAAUUAAUAUAUAUACCUUUCCUUUUUUUUUUUUCUUUUUCUUUUGGGGCAUUACAAAAACCCCAAAAUUAAGACAAAAAUAAACCAAAACCUAGAUUGGAAACGGGCUCUCCAACUUAGCCGGCGAGUGUUUGAAAUUAGGAACCAUGGAGUUAGGAUCUAACGAUGAAGAUUUUUCUUUGGAAGACAACUUGGGUUUUCGAGGGGCUCUGUCGCCCUUGAUUAUGACUCUGUUAGGG